RNAcentral lists this ribosomal RNA (647 nucleotides) under uncultured bacterium. RNAcentral's name for it is "bacterial SSU rRNA". It matches the Rfam family "Bacterial small subunit ribosomal RNA", at positions 10 to 668 of the family's 1533-position model. The record is from RNAcentral.
AGUUUGAUUCUGGCUCAGGAUGAACGCUGGCGGCGUGCUUAACACAUGCAAGUCGAACGGGCUCAUAUUGAAACCUAGUGAUGUAUGAGUUAGUGGCGGACGGGUGAGUAACGCGUGGAGAACCUGCCGUAUACUGGGGGAUAACACUUAGAAAUAGGUGCUAAUACCGCAUAAGCGCACAGCUUCGCAUGAAGCAGUGUGAAAAACUCCGGUGGUAUACGAUGGAUCCGCGUCUGAUUAGCUGGUUGGCGGGGUAACAGCCCACCAAGGCGACGAUCAGUAGCCGGCCUGAGAGGGUGAACGGCCACAUUGGGACUGAGACACGGCCCAAACUCCUACGGGAGGCAGCAGUGGGGAAUAUUGCACAAUGGGGGAAACCCUGAUGCAGCGACGCCGCGUGAGUGAAGAAGUAUUUCGGUAUGUAAAGCUCUAUCAGCAGGGAAGAAAAUGACGGUACCUGACUAAGAAGCCCCGGCUAACUACGUGCCAGCAGCCGCGGUAAUACGUAGGGGGCAAGCGUUAUCCGGAUUUACUGGGUGUAAAGGGAGCGUAGACGGCAGCGCAAGUCUGAAGUGAAAUCCCAUGGCUUAACCAUGGAACUGCUUUGGAAACUGUGCAACUGGAGUGCACGAGAGGUAAGCGGAAUU